UCUGUCCCGUGAUCCGGGACGAGGACCGUGUCUGGUGGGUAGUUUGACUGGGGCGGUCUCCUCCUAAAGAGUAACGGAGGAGUACGAAGGUGCGCUCAGCGUGGUCGGAAAUCACGCGUAGAGUAUAAAGGCAAAAGCGCGCUUAACUGCGAGACCCACAAGUCGAGCAGGUACGAAAGUAGGUCUUAGUGAUCCGGUGGUUCUGUAUGGAAGGGCCAUCGCUCAACGGAUAAAAGGUACUCUGGGGAUAACAGGCUGAUACCGCCCAAGAGUUCAUAUCGACGGCGGUGUUUGGCACCUCGAUGUCGGCUCAUCUCAUCCUGGGGCUGAAGCAGGUCCCAAGGGUAUGGCUGUUCGCCAUUUAAAGAGGUACGCGAGCUGGGUUUAGAACGUCGUGAGACAGUUCGGUCCCUAUCUACCGUGGGCGCUGGAAAUUUGAGAGGAUCUGCUCCUAGUACGAGAGGACCAGAGUGGACGAACCUCUGGUGUACCGGUUGUGACGCCAGUCGCAUCGCCGGGUAGCUAUGUUCGGAAGGGAUAACCGCUGAAAGCAUCUAAGCGGGAAGCCUACCUCAAGAUAAGAUUUCCCUAGGACUUUAUGUCCUCUAAAGAGCCGUUCGAGACUAGGACGUUGAUAGGUUGGAUGUGGAAGCAUAGUGAUAUGUGAAGCUGACCAAUACUAAUUGCUCGUGAGGCUUGACUAU
This 704-nucleotide ribosomal RNA is filed under the name Acinetobacter baumannii. RNAcentral's name for it is "partial 23S ribosomal RNA". It matches the Rfam family "Bacterial large subunit ribosomal RNA", at positions 2227 to 2925 of the family's 2925-position model. Lineage: Bacteria; Pseudomonadati; Pseudomonadota; Gammaproteobacteria; Moraxellales; Moraxellaceae. The record is from RNAcentral.